GCUAGGAUGGCAGAACAUGGACAUGCAAAAGACCUAAGCCCUUUCAACAGAGGUUCAAAUCCUCUUCCUAACU
This 73-nucleotide transfer RNA is filed under the name Syngnathus floridae (dusky pipefish). Its description in RNAcentral is "tRNA-Leu". It matches the Rfam family "tRNA". Rfam says of the family: Transfer RNA (tRNA) molecules are approximately 80 nucleotides in length. Their secondary structure includes four short double-helical elements and three loops (D, anti-codon, and T loops). Lineage: Eukaryota; Metazoa; Chordata; Actinopteri; Syngnathiformes; Syngnathidae. RNAcentral also lists the same sequence under 1 other name. The record is from RNAcentral.